GGCCCAUUAGUCUAGGGGUCUAUGACGUUGGAUUUUGAUUACAUAAUCAACCCACCUUCCAAAGACAUCAGUUCGAAUCUGAUAUGGGCCU
Molecule: transfer RNA, 91 nt
Filed under: Tolypocladium ophioglossoides CBS 100239
Lineage: Eukaryota; Fungi; Ascomycota; Sordariomycetes; Hypocreales; Ophiocordycipitaceae
Rfam family: tRNA
About the family: Transfer RNA (tRNA) molecules are approximately 80 nucleotides in length. Their secondary structure includes four short double-helical elements and three loops (D, anti-codon, and T loops).
Source: Rfam by way of RNAcentral